UCGGCGCACUGCUCAGUACACGUGGAUACCUACCCUCAGGAGGGGGAUAACCCCGGGAAACUGGGGAUAAUACCCCAUAGAUCAGGGACGCUGGAAUGCCCCCUGAUCCAAAGGUCCGCCGCCUGAGGAUGGGUCUGCGGCCGAUUAGGUUGUUGUUGGGGUAACGGCCCAACAAGCCAUUGAUCGGUACGGGUUGUGAGAGCAAGAGCCCGGAGAUGGAUUCUGAGACACGAAUCCAGGCCCUACGGGGCGCAGCAGGCGCGAAAACUUUACAAUGCGAGAAAUCGUGAUAAGGGAACCCCGAGUGCCCGUAAAUUCGGGCUGUCCAUCAGUGUAAAUAACUGGUGAAGAAAGGGCCGGGCAAGACCGGUGCCAGCCGCCGCGGUAAUACCGGCGGCUCGAGUGGUGGCCACUAUUACUGGGCUUAAAGCGUCCGUAGCUGGACUGUUAAGUCUCUUGGGAAAUCCACCGGCUCAACCGAUGGGCGUUCAGGAGAAACUGGCAAUCUAGGGACCGGGAG
Molecule: ribosomal RNA, 520 nt
Filed under: uncultured Methanolinea sp.
Lineage: Archaea; Methanobacteriati; Methanobacteriota; Methanomicrobia; Methanomicrobiales; Methanoregulaceae
Description: bacterial SSU rRNA
Rfam family: Archaeal small subunit ribosomal RNA
Source: RNAcentral